RNAcentral lists this ribosomal RNA (2891 nucleotides) under Acinetobacter baumannii. Its description in RNAcentral is "bacterial LSU rRNA". It matches the Rfam family "Bacterial large subunit ribosomal RNA". Lineage: Bacteria; Pseudomonadati; Pseudomonadota; Gammaproteobacteria; Moraxellales; Moraxellaceae. The record is from RNAcentral.
UCAAGUAAUUAAGUGCAUGUGGUGGAUGCCUUGGCAGUCAGAGGCGAUGAAAGACGUGAUAGCCUGCGAAAAGCUCCGGGGAGGCGGCAAAUAUCCUUUGAUCCGGAGAUGUCUGAAUGGGGGAACCCACCUACUUUAAGGUAGGUAUUGCAACAUGAAUACAUAGUGUUGCAAGGCGAACGAGGGGAAGUGAAACAUCUCAGUACCCUUAGGAAAAGAAAUCAAUUGAGAUUCCCUCAGUAGCGGCGAGCGAACGGGGAUCAGCCCAUUAAGUUAUGUGUGUUUUAGUGGAACGCUCUGGGAAGUGCGAACGUAGAGGGUGAUAUUCCCGUACACGAAAGGGCACACAUAAUGAUGACGAGUAGGGCGAGGCACGUGAAACCUUGUCUGAAUAUGGGGGGACCAUCCUCCAAGGCUAAAUACUCCUGACUGACCGAUAGUGAACCAGUACCGUGAGGGAAAGGCGAAAAGAACCCCUGUGAGGGGAGUGAAAUAGAUCCUGAAACCGCAUGCAUACAAGCAGUGGGAGCACCUUCGUGGUGUGACUGCGUACCUUUUGUAUAAUGGGUCAGCGACUUAUAUUCAGUAGCGAGGUUAACCGUAUAGGGGAGCCGUAGAGAAAUCGAGUCUUAAUAGGGCGUUUAGUUGCUGGGUAUAGACCCGAAACCAGGCGAUCUAUCCAUGAGCAGGUUGAAGGUUGGGUAACACUAACUGGAGGACCGAACCCACUGUCGUUGAAAAGCCAGGGGAUGACUUGUGGAUAGGGGUGAAAGGCUAAUCAAGCCUGGUGAUAGCUGGUUCUCCCCGAAAGCUAUUUAGGUAGCGCCUCGGACGAAUACCAUAGGGGGUAGAGCACUGUUUCGGCUAGGGGGUCAUCCCGACUUACCAAACCGAUGCAAACUCCGAAUACCUAUGAGUACUAUCCGGGAGACAGACUGCGGGUGCUAACGUCCGUAGUCAAGAGGAAAACAAUCCAGACCGCCAGCUAAGGCCCCAAAAUCAUAGUUAAGUGGGAAACGAUGUGGGAAGGCAUAGACAGCUAGGAGGUUGGCUUAGAAGCAGCCACCCUUUAAAGAAAGCGUAAUAGCUCACUAGUCGAGUCGGCCUGCGCGGAAGAUGUAACGGGGCUAAAACUAUGUGCCGAAGCUGCGGAUGUAUACUUUGUAUACGUGGUAGGGGAGCGUUCUGUAAGCCGAUGAAGGUGUGUUGAGAAGCAUGCUGGAGGUAUCAGAAGUGCGAAUGCUGACGUGAGUAACGACAAAACGGGUGAAAAACCCGUUCGCCGAAAGACCAAGGGUUCCAGUCCAACGUUAAUCGGGGCUGGGUGAGUCGACCCCUAAGGCGAGGCCGAAAGGCGUAGUCGAUGGGAAAAUGGUUAAUAUUCCAUUACUUCUGUGUAAUGCGAUGAGAGGAUGGAGAAGGCUAAAUCAGCCUGGCGUUGGUUGUCCAGGUGAAAGGAUGUAGGCAUGUAUCUUAGGCAAAUCCGGGGUACUCUAUGCUGAGAUCUGAUAGCAAGCUGUACUUGUACAGCGAAGUGGUUGAUGCCAUGCUUCCAGGAAAAGUCUCUAAGCUUCAGUUACACAGGAAUCGUACCCGAAACCGACACAGGUGGUCAGGUCGAGUAGACCAAGGCGCUUGAGAGAACUCUGCUGAAGGAACUAGGCAAAAUGGUACCGUAACUUCGGGAGAAGGUACGCUGUUGUUGGUGAUGGAACUCGCUUCCUGAGCUGACGACAGCCGCAGAAACCAGGCCGCUGCAACUGUUUAUUAAAAACAUAGCACUCUGCAAACACGAAAGUGGACGUAUAGGGUGUGAUGCCUGCCCGGUGCUGGAAGGUUAAUUGAUGGGGUUAGCGUAAGCGAAGCUCUUGAUCGAAGCCCCAGUAAACGGCGGCCGUAACUAUAACGGUCCUAAGGUAGCGAAAUUCCUUGUCGGGUAAGUUCCGACCUGCACGAAUGGCAUAAUGAUGGCGGCGCUGUCUCCAGCAGAGGCUCAGUGAAAUCGAAAUCGCUGUGAAGAUGCAGUGUACCCGCGGCUAGACGGAAAGACCCCGUGAACCUUUACUGCAGCUUGACACUGAACUUUGACCUUACUUGUGUAGGAUAGGUGGGAGGCUUUGAAGCUGGAACGCUAGUUCCAGUGGAGCCGUCCUUGAAAUACCACCCUGGUAAUGUUGAGGUUCUAACUCUGUCCCGUGAUCCGGGACGAGGACCGUGUCUGGUGGGUAGUUUGACUGGGGCGGUCUCCUCCUAAAGAGUAACGGAGGAGUACGAAGGUGCGCUCAGCGUGGUCGGAAAUCACGCGUAGAGUAUAAAGGCAAAAGCGCGCUUAACUGCGAGACCCACAAGUCGAGCAGGUACGAAAGUAGGUCUUAGUGAUCCGGUGGUUCUGUAUGGAAGGGCCAUCGCUCAACGGAUAAAAGGUACUCUGGGGAUAACAGGCUGAUACCGCCCAAGAGUUCAUAUCGACGGCGGUGUUUGGCACCUCGAUGUCGGCUCAUCUCAUCCUGGGGCUGAAGCAGGUCCCAAGGGUAUGGCUGUUCGCCAUUUAAAGAGGUACGCGAGCUGGGUUUAGAACGUCGUGAGACAGUUCGGUCCCUAUCUACCGUGGGCGCUGGAAAUUUGAGAGGAUCUGCUCCUAGUACGAGAGGACCAGAGUGGACGAACCUCUGGUGUACCGGUUGUGACGCCAGUCGCAUCGCCGGGUAGCUAUGUUCGGAAGGGAUAACCGCUGAAAGCAUCUAAGCGGGAAGCCUACCUCAAGAUAAGAUUUCCCUAGGACUUUAUGUCCUCUAAAGAGCCGUUCGAGACUAGGACGUUGAUAGGUUGGAUGUGGAAGCAUAGUGAUAUGUGAAGCUGACCAAUACUAAUUGCUCGUGAGGCUUGACUAU